Molecule: transfer RNA, 70 nt
Filed under: Heyndrickxia vini
Lineage: Bacteria; Bacillati; Bacillota; Bacilli; Caryophanales; Bacillaceae
Description: Bacillus vini tRNA-Trp
Rfam family: tRNA
About the family: Transfer RNA (tRNA) molecules are approximately 80 nucleotides in length. Their secondary structure includes four short double-helical elements and three loops (D, anti-codon, and T loops).
Source: RNAcentral
AGGGUAUAGUUUAAUGGUAAAACGAAGGUCUCCAAAACCUUUGAUGUGGGUUCGAUUCCUACUACCCCUG